CACUGCCGAGAAAAGCCUCUAGAUAGAAAAUAGGUGCCCGUACCGCAAACCGACACAGGUAGUCAAGAUGAGAAUUCUAAGGUGAGCGAGCGAACUCUCGUUAAGGAACUCGGCAAAAUGACCCCGUAACUUCGGGAGAAGGGGUGCUCUUUAGGGUUAACGCCCAGAAGAGCCGCAGUGAAUAGGCCCAAGCGACUGUUUAUCAAAAACACAGGUCUCUGCUAAACCGUAAGGUGAUGUAUAGGGGCUGACGCCUGCCCGGUGCUGGAAGGUUAAGAGGAGUGGUUAGCUUCUGCGAAGCUACGAAUCGAAGCCCCAGUAAACGGCGGCCGUAACUAUAACGGUCCUAAGGUAGCGAAAUUCCUUGUCGGGUAAGUUCCGACCCGCACGAAAGGCGUAACGAUUUGGGCACUGUCUCAACGAGAGACUCGGUGAAAUCAUAGUACCUGUGAAGAUGCAGGUUACCCGCGACAGGACGGAAAGACCCCGUGGAGCUUUACUGUAGCCUGAUAUUGAAAUUCGGCACAGCUUGUACAGGAUAGGUAGGAGCCUUUGAAACGUGAGCGCUAGCUUACGUGGAGGCGCUGGUGGGAUACUACC
Molecule: ribosomal RNA, 600 nt
Filed under: Staphylococcus aureus
Lineage: Bacteria; Bacillati; Bacillota; Bacilli; Caryophanales; Staphylococcaceae
Description: partial 23S ribosomal RNA
Rfam family: Bacterial large subunit ribosomal RNA
Source: RNAcentral